GGUGAAGAGGAGCUUGCUCCUUGGAUCAGUGGCGAACGGGUGAGUAACACGUGAGCAAUCUGCCCUUGACUCUGGGAUAACUGCGGGAAACUGUAGCUAAUACCGGAUAUUACCUUGGAAGGCAUCUUCUGGGGUGGAAAGAAUUUUGGUCAAGGAUGAGCUCGCGGCCUAUCAGCUAGUUGGUGAGGUAAUGGCUCACCAAGGCGACGACGGGUAGCCGGCCUGAGAGGGUGACCGGCCACACUGGGACUGAGACACGGCCCAGACUCCUACGGGAGGCAGCAGUGGGGAAUAUUGCACAAUGGGCGCAAGCCUGAUGCAGCAACGCCGCGUGAGGGACGACGGCCUUCGGGUUGUAAACCUCUUUUAGUAGGGAAGAAGCGACUGGGUUUUCCUGGGAGUGACGGUACCUGCAGAAAAAGCACCGGCUAACUACGUGCCAGCAGCCGCGGUAAUACGUAGGGUGCAAGCGUUGUCCGGAAUUAUUGGGCGUAAAGAGCUCGUAGGCGGUUUGUCGCGUCUGCUGUGAAAACCCGAGGCUCAACCUCGGGCCUGCAGUGGGUACGGGCAGACUAGAGUGCGGUAGGGGAGAUUGGAAUUCCUGGUGUAGCGGUGGAAUGCGCAGAUAUCAGGAGGAACACCAAUGGCGAAGGCAGAUCUCUGGGCCGUAACUGACGCUGAGGAGCGAAAGCAUGGGGAGCGAACAGGAUUAGAUACCCUGGUAGUCCAUGCCGUAAACGUUGGGAACUAGAUGUGGGGACCAUUCCACGGUCUCCGUGUCGCAGCUAACGCAUUAAGUUCCCCGCCUGGGGAGUACGGCCGCAAGGCUAAAACUCAAAGGAAUUGACGGGGGCCCGCACAAGCGGCGGAGCAUGCGGAUUAAUUCGAUGCAACGCGAAGAACCUUACCAAGGCUUGACAUAUACCGGUAACGCCUGGAAACAGGUGCCCCGCAAGGUCGGUAUACAGGUGGUGCAUGGUUGUCGUCAGCUCGUGUCGUGAGAUGUUGGGUUAAGUCCCGCAACGAGCGCAACCCUCGUCCUAUGUUGCCAGCACGUAAUGGUGGGAACUCAUGGGAUACUGCCGGGGUCAACUCGGAGGAAGGUGGGGAUGACGUCAAAUCAUCAUGCCCCUUAUGUCUUGGGCUUCACGCAUGCUACAAUGGCCGGUACAAAGGGCUGCGAUACCGCAAGGUGGAGCGAAUCCCAAAAAGCCGGUCUCAGUUCGGAUUGAGGUCUGCAACUCGACCUCAUGAAGUCGGAGUCGCUAGUAAUCGCAGAUCAGCAACGCUGCGGUGAAUACGUUCCCGGGCCUUGUACACACCGCCCGUCAAGUCAUGAAAGUCGGUAACACCCGAAGCCAGUGGCCGAACCCGUAAGGGACGGAG
RNAcentral lists this ribosomal RNA (1386 nucleotides) under Cryobacterium flavum. Its description in RNAcentral is "bacterial SSU rRNA". It matches the Rfam family "Bacterial small subunit ribosomal RNA". The record is from RNAcentral. Lineage: Bacteria; Bacillati; Actinomycetota; Actinomycetes; Micrococcales; Microbacteriaceae.